AGAGGGUGCAAGCGUUAAUCGGAUUUACUGGGCGUAAAGCGCGCGUAGGUGGCCAAUUAAGUCAAAUGUGAAAUCCCCGAGCUUAACUUGGGAAUUGCAUUCGAUACUGGUUGGCUAGAGUAUGGGAGAGGAUGGUAGAAUUCCAGGUGUAGCGGUGAAAUGCGUAGAGAUCUGGAGGAAUACCGAUGGCGAAGGCAGCCAUCUGGCCUAAUACUGACACUGAGGUGCGAAAGCAUGGGGAGCAAAC
This 247-nucleotide ribosomal RNA is filed under the name uncultured Acinetobacter sp. RNAcentral describes it as "partial 16S ribosomal RNA". It matches the Rfam family "Bacterial small subunit ribosomal RNA", at positions 527 to 773 of the family's 1533-position model. The record is from RNAcentral. Lineage: Bacteria; Pseudomonadati; Pseudomonadota; Gammaproteobacteria; Moraxellales; Moraxellaceae.